Molecule: long non-coding RNA, 226 nt
Filed under: Elaeis guineensis (African oil palm)
Lineage: Eukaryota; Viridiplantae; Streptophyta; Magnoliopsida; Arecales; Arecaceae
Description: long non-coding RNA (EGUI_LNC065030)
Source: RNAcentral
UCAGGGUCUCUACUCAUGAUAAUUUUUGAAUAGAUCAAGAAAACAUUAUUCACAAUAAUGUAUGGUGUAUAGCCAUUCUCAAUGAUAAAUCCAUAUUUAAGUGGUACAUUAUGCACUCAAAUUGACUUUCGGUGAGGAGGUGUGUUUCAUGGUUGUGCCUUAUCAAUGAGCAUAUUUGGUCGAAGAUCAACUUGUGGAUACUCCACAGGUUAUGAAAAUUCAUAGG